GACGAACGCUGGCGGCGUGCUUAACACAUGCAAGUCGAGCGGAGCGGCGAAGGGGUGAGUAAGGCGUGAAUAACUGCCCCCCUCCCUGGGAUAACAGUUGGAAACGGCUGCUAAUACCGGAUAGUGGGGGAUGAGUCGGGUCCUAUCAGCUUGUUGGGGGGGUAGUGGCCUACCAAGGCGACGAGGGGUAGCCCGACUGAGAGGGCGACCGGCCACAUUGUGCUGGGAGACCGCCAAUGCUCCAUCUGGAGGCAGCAGUGGGGAUUUGUCCACACUAGGGGAAAUGCGGGUGCACCACCGUCGGGUGCGGGAUGACGGCUUUCCGGGAGUAAAGCGCUUUCAGCGAUGAGUCGGUAGCGGCAGAGGAAGCACCGGCUAACUACGUGCCAGCAGCCGCGGUAAUUC
Molecule: ribosomal RNA, 405 nt
Filed under: uncultured bacterium
Lineage: Bacteria
Description: partial 16S ribosomal RNA
Rfam family: Bacterial small subunit ribosomal RNA
Source: RNAcentral